RNAcentral lists this ribosomal RNA (669 nucleotides) under marine metagenome. RNAcentral describes it as "bacterial SSU rRNA". It matches the Rfam family "Bacterial small subunit ribosomal RNA", at positions 753 to 1423 of the family's 1533-position model. The record is from RNAcentral.
GCGAAAGCGUGGGUAGCGAACAGGAUUAGAUACCCUGGUAGUCCACGCCGUAAACGAUGACAACUAGCUGUUAGGAGACUAUGUCUUUUAGUGGCGCAGCUAACGUUUUAAGUUGUCCGCCUGGGGAGUACGGCCGCAAGGCUAAAACUCAAAUGAAUUGACGGGGACCCGCACAAGCGGUGGAGCAUGUGGUUUAAUUCGAUGCAACGCGAAAAACCUUACCUACUCUUGACAUACUUGGAAGCUCUUGUAAUGAGAGUGUGCUUUUAAGAACCAAGAUACAGGUGCUGCAUGGCUGUCGUCAGCUCGUGUCGUGAGAUGUUCCGUUAAGUCGGAUAACGAGCGCAACCCUUACCCUUAUUUGCCAGCGAUUCGGUCGGGAACUAUAAGGGGACUGCCGGUGAUAAACCGGAGGAAGGUGAGGACGACGUCAAGUCAUCAUGGCCCUUACGAGUAGGGCUACACACGUGAUACAAUGGGAGAGACAGACGGACGCUAAGCCGCGAGGUGGUGCUAAUCCUAGAAACUCUCUCGUAGUCCGGAUUGGAGUCUGCAACUCGACUCCAUGAAGUUGGAAUUGCUAGUAAUCGCGGAUCAGCAUGCCGCGGUGAAUACGUUCUCGGGUCUUGUACACACCGCCCGUCACACCAUGGAAGUGGAUUGCACCAG